Molecule: ribosomal RNA, 122 nt
Filed under: Chrysophyceae sp.
Lineage: Eukaryota; Chrysophyceae
Description: 5.8S ribosomal RNA
Rfam family: 5.8S ribosomal RNA
About the family: 5.8S ribosomal RNA (5.8S rRNA) is a component of the large subunit of the eukaryotic ribosome. It is transcribed by RNA polymerase I as part of the 45S precursor that also contains 18S and 28S rRNA.
Source: RNAcentral
AAACACUUUCAGCAACGGAUGUCUUGGCUCCUAUAACGAUGAAGAACGCAGCGAAAUGCGAUACGUCAUGCGAAUUGCAUUACCAGCGAGUCAUCAAAACUUUGAACGCAUCUUGCGCUUCC